GCUAUUUUGGCAGAAAAGUGCAUUAAAUUUAGAAUUUAAAUAUGGGGCAGACUCAAAUAGUA
RNAcentral lists this transfer RNA (62 nucleotides) under Teloganodidae sp. MT-2014. RNAcentral describes it as "tRNA-Leu". Lineage: Eukaryota; Metazoa; Arthropoda; Insecta; Ephemeroptera; Teloganodidae. The record is from RNAcentral.